AACGCACGAGACCUGCGGACCUGCGGAAGGAUCAUUACAGGACUCGCGAGACUCCUACAACCCUGUGAACUUAACUAUAAGCACGUUGCUUCGGCGGGUGUCUCGGCGAGGGUUCUCCCUCCCCGGGGCGCUAAGCCCGCCGGCAGCCUACUAUACUCUGUCUCUUUGCGUUGGCAUCUCGAGUACAAACAAACAAGUUAAAACUUUCAACAACGGAUCUCUAGAUCGGAAGAGCACACG
RNAcentral lists this unclassified non-coding RNA (240 nucleotides) under soil metagenome. RNAcentral's name for it is "partial contains 5.8S ribosomal RNA, internal transcribed spacer 2, and large subunit ribosomal RNA". The record is from RNAcentral.